GACGAACGCUGGCGGCGUGCUUAACACAUGCAAGUCGAACGGAAAGGCCCUGCUUGCAGGGUACUCGAGUGGCGAACGGGUGAGUAACACGUGGGUGAUCUGCCCUGCACUUCGGGAUAAGCCUGGGAAACUGGGUCUAAUACCGGAUAGGAGCCAUUUUUAGUGUGAUGGUUGGAAAGUUUUUUCGGUGUAGGAUGAGCUCGCGGCCUAUCAGCUUGUUGGUGGGGUAAUGGCCUACCAAGGCGGCGACGGGUAGCCGGCCUGAGAGGGUGGACGGCCACAUUGGGACUGAGAUACGGCCCAGACUCCUACGGGAAGCAGCGGUGGGGAAUAUUGCACAAUGGGCGCAAGCCUGAUGCAGCGACGCCGCGUGGGGGAUGACGGCCUUCGGGUUGUAAACUCCUUUCGCUAGGGACGAAGCUUUUUGUGACGGUACCUAGAUAAGAAGCACCGGCUAACUACGUG
This 465-nucleotide ribosomal RNA is filed under the name uncultured bacterium. RNAcentral describes it as "partial 16S ribosomal RNA". It matches the Rfam family "Bacterial small subunit ribosomal RNA", at positions 28 to 507 of the family's 1533-position model. The record is from RNAcentral.